UUUUUUUUUUUUUUGGUCUUUUUGUCUUUUUGCCUUUUCAAGGCCCUCACCCAUGGCAUAUGGAAGUUCCCAGGGAAAGCGUCGAAUCGGAGCUGUAGCCACCAGCCUACGCCACAGCCACAGCAAUGAGGGAUCUGAGCAGCAUCUGUGACUUACACCACAGCUCACGGCAACACCGGGUCCUUAACCCACUGAACGAAGCCAGGGAUCAAACCCGCAACCUCAUGGUUCCUAGUUGGAUUCAUUAACCACUGAUCCAUGAUGGGAACUCCCAGGAAAGACUGAAAUAGGUGAAGCAUAACACUUAAUUCUCAGUCCAUAUCUCUAUAAGAGUAUUCCAAAGUUUUAUUAGUUUGUGGCCAAUUUGUUACCCAAUAAAGCAGACUAAAGUCAAUCAGUAAGUAUUUCCUGAGGUCCUACUCUGCCUAGUGCUGACCUCAGAAUGAGUAGAAAACACAACUUUUCCCCAAGAGCCUCACCUGUGGCCCUUUCUCCAGCUGAAAAUCAGUUGCUGGUUUCUCUCCUGGCUUGGGCAUUAGUGGGCAUUAGUGGGCAUUAGUGGGCAUUAAUGGGAAGAAAAUCCAAAGUGCAUUGACAAAGUCCCUCUUGCUCAGUUCUUCUGUAUACAUAAAAAUUAGCAUAUUGAAUGACAGUAAAAAAUAAAAAGAGCAGACUGAUGGGCAUAACAACAAGGAUGAAUCUCAGUAAUAUUAAAUGAGGGAAUUCCCUGGUGGCUAAGGAUUUGGUGUGUCACUGCUGUGCCAUGGGUUUGAUUCCUGGCCUGGGAACUUCCCCAUGCCACAGACACAGCCAAAAAUAUAAAUACAAAAAUAAUAAAACUAAUAGGAAAUGAAAAAACUGAGUCACAAAAAAGGAAUACAUACUGCAUAAUUCCAUUUAUGUUAAGUGUUAGAAAAUUUAAAAUCUAUAGCUAUAGAAGACAGAAAGAGGUUGUAUGGGGAUGGAAAGUGAUGCAGAGAUAAGCAGGACAGGGGAUUACAAAGAAGCACAAAGAGUUCCCAUUGUGGCUCAGCAGAUUAAAAAUCCAACAUAGUCUCCAUGAGGAUAUGGGUUCAAUCCCUGGCCUUGCUCAAUGGGUUAAAGAUCCAGUGUUCCACAAGCUGCAGUGUAGGUCAUAGAUGCAACUCUGAGGUGAUGUUGCCAUGGCUGUGAUGUAGGCCAGUGGCUGUAGCUCCAAUUUGACCCCUAGCCUGGAAACUUAAAGGUACAGCUGUAAAAAUAAAUAAUAAUAAUAAUAAAAAGAACAAAGAAGCAUAUGGAAACUUUGGUUAGUGGUGGGUAUGUUCAUUACUUUGAUUAUGUGAUCACAGGGUACAUAUAUGUUGAAAAAUGAUCAAAUUGUACUCUUUAGCUAGGGGCAGUUCAUUUUAUAUCUAUUAUACAUCAACUACAAUUUUUACUGAAAGCCCAAAACAUGGAACAUUAGCCAAAAAAGACAACUCAGGUGAGGUGCUAUAGGUGUGGGAGGGGGAAGUGUUGAGGAAACCUAAAAAUGCCAUCAAGGGGGUAAGGAAAUCGGUGAGGAUGCCUGUGGGGAGGGUCUCUGAAGACAGACUUUUAUCUAUUUAUCAAUUUUGCCUGAGCAGCAGAUGAAUCUAAACAUCAAGUUUAACUAAAUGUUCCUUUUAGCUACCAUCCAUCAUUUUUUAGGCCUGUUUUAAUUUUUUUUUAGCCUGUAAAACCAUGCUGACUUGCCUGGUUGUUAAAUCACUUAGAAAACGUAGAAUGAUGACGCUGACCAUUAGGAAGAAUUUGCAAACAGGCCCAGACAAAAAUGUGAUUACAUACAUGUUUGGCUCCCUGGGUUCAAGAAGAACAAGUGGUGACCAGCUUUUCCAUUAGCUUUUGAAAAAUAUAAAAUUAUUGACACUCAUAUCAAUAUGGAAGAAAUAAAAGAAGUCAUAAGAGCACACAAUGAAAAUUAUUGGAAAGUUGACUUUAUUUUACAACAGGAGGACUGGAAAUCACAUGCCAUCUAAAAGAUAACCACAAGAACAUAAAGUAAAAUUUAAACUUUCAACUAUGUCUGAAAUCUAUAAAGCUUCAGUCAGAUCUACUAUUGGCAAGCCGCAAGUACUUUGUGUGACACAGGGACAAAGGCAAAACAGUCCUUCAGAAUCGGAAUACUAGGCUUAGCUGCUGAUGUAAUAGGGAACAAUGAUUAAACUAUCAAUCAAACAGAUUUUUUAAAUAUGUUACAUGUCAUAGCCAGGGAUUUCAAGUCCAGGACAAAAUCUGGUGUUAGUUACAACACAGAUGAAUUGGGUGGUCUCUUAGUACACAGAUGAUCACCAAAAUCAGCAUAAUGUGGAAAUCAAUUCAAGGACUCCUCUCUUCAUCUCAGCUCAUGAAGAUUCCGAAUUAAUAAAAGCAGUGUUAUAAAUUUAUGAGCCAUGACCCUGCAAAGUGUUUUGUGCCAUUUUCCAAGUUAUUUACCAUGUUUCAAAGCAAAAUCAUUUAAUAAAGUCUCCAUUCUCUAACUAUACCUAAAUAUCUUUACUUUUUAAACAAUUGAAUUUGUGGUUAUUUUUUCCAGAUGCACGGCACUUCCAAAAUUAAAAAAAGUAAAUAAAAAUGUUAAACUGGGUAAAUUUCAUCCAUGUACCAUCUGGAGAGCCAGAAGUAAUGGAGUUGGUCUCGGUGCCAUUUCUCUCUAGAGCCUAUUUUAUGCUCACUCACAUCCAGUUCAAUAUCCCUCCCUAUAUGAGAAUGUUUAAUUGAAAUAUUACAAGCUCCCAUGUGAUCACUUCCUCCUCAAGUUCGUUUCCAGGAGAAACUCUUUCUCUGCAGCUGAAUGUUGUAGGCUGCUUAUCAGAAAAUGAAAACACAGUAUGAUUCUCUUUAUGUUAACAACUGCCAGAAUCCAAAUCCAAAUUUCUUGCUGGAAUAUCAUAAGCUGUUUGGCCUUGGUGCCUAAAAGGAGGGAAAAUUUCUCCUUCUGAAGUAUGACUUCUGUUUCUUAGCAAGUAUUCUAUUUCAAUGUGCAAGCCACUGUAAGACUUUUUAGAAGUGGAUAAAAGGUACAACUAAAGUAAAUGUAAUUGAGAGACAAAAAUUAAAUGUCCUUUCAUGUUUAUAACCUACAGCAGCUUGCAUCAUCCCACAAGUAUUUUGUGUUCAUUAUUGUGUGUCAGGUACUGCAUUAGGGCCCUUAUAUGGAGAUGAACAAAACUUGGUUCCACCUCAAAAGUCUCAUAGGCUAGUGAAGGAAACAGGCAAGAAAAAUGAAAUUUCUAUGGGUGGUUGCAGAUCCUUACAAGAAGGAAAGCAUUUGAGGGAUCCCAAUAUCUCAUUUCAUCUAAAGCCACAGCCACUUAGAAAGACAGUUAUUACAAAUGACAGCAUCCUUCUGCUUUGUCCUCCAAUUAUUUCUCCAACCUUAAUACUCCCUUUCAGUCAACAUCCACUCACCUCUUCUCACAUGAAGACAGUGGCCCCAGUUUCAAAUAUUCUUCUGCAAUCCUCAGACUAGAUCACAUGCUCCAUGGUUCAGAAAUGCAAUCACCAGAUUCAUUCCUACCUUGACACACUGACUCAGGCUGUCACCCGCCACCCAAAAGGCAUUUUUGCAUCUUCACAAAUUCCUCACCCAUCCAAAUCUUAAGUAACCUUCAAGGCCCAAAAUAAGUACCAUUUUUUUCCCCUUGUUCUACUUCCUGUUCCUAAAAUGGUCUACCCUCUCUGAACUCCUGAUGCACUUGUGAGAAUUUAUACCCACUUUUACCUCCAGUCAUCAUAUAUAUUAGUUUUACAUCUGCAACUAAACUCUUAACUUCCUUUAGGAACCACAUGUUCCAAUAAUGCUCAGAACAUGGCAAAUAUUCAAAUGUGUGUNAUAUAGGUUAAUCCUAAUUUACUCAGAAAUUGAGGCAUAGUUAGGCUAUAAUUUUCCCAAGAUAACAGAGCUAAAUAAUAAACACACGUUAAUAGCUACCAUUUAUCAAAUACCAAUAUGCCAAGUACUGUGUUAUUCAAGAUUAGACCAAAAAAUAGAUUCUGGGUUCCCCAGCUUUCAAGAAGGCAUUUAUAUCACAUUUUACUCAAAUCUACCAUAUUAUUAUGACAAUAAGUUUUAUUUGUUGAGUAUCGACUUUGUGCCAAAAACUGUAUAUCAGCUAUUUCAUAUAAUCUUCAUAAAACCAUAUGUAGUAAAUAUGAUUACAUUCCUUCAAAAAGGUCAAAGAACUUGGCAUGUGCUCACUGCAUGGGAUUGAGGCAAGAUUCUAACUCGGGUCUCUCUGACUUUAAAUCUUUUGUUCUUUCCCACUUUGCACCACCUAAGAAUUACCAAAAAAGUCAAUUCUUACAUCAACCCAUUAAUUAAUAAAAAGUGUAGGAGAUGUGUUCAUCCAAUUCAUGUAAGUCAAUUCUUACAUCAACUCAUUAAUUAAUAAAAAGUGUAGGAGAUGUGUUCAUCCAAUUCAUAGCUCAUAUCUAGGUCCACAUGAUGUAGCACAAACUGGAGAGUCUGCAACUUUUCAUAGCUUUUUAGUUCUGGAGAUGUUAAACUUCCCAGUUAUCCAGCAUUUGUAAGAAUUGUAUGUCAGUUACCUGAGUGAUCCAGGUUUUCUGGACAAGGAGCAACUAAGAACUGUAUUUUGUAUGGUUCCAAAUCCCACACCUGGUGAUACAGACUUUAAAUUGUUUUGCUACAAUGGUGUGUGUGUGUGUGUGUGUGUGUGUGUGUGUGUGUGUGUGGUUUGUUUAAAUAAACUGGUAGCAGAUACUCUAGAUUUCAUCCUGAAGAGCUUAUUCCUUUGUCUUUUUCCUCUGGUUAAAUCAUUGUAUUUAAUUGUCUAAUUAAUUGCAUACAUUUGCAAGUGGGAUUCCCCCCUCACCCAAAUCUAUUGCUAGUUUUUCAAGUGGUGUAAUAAUUACACUGGAUCAGGGAAAUUUAUUAUAGAAUGCAGUUCCUCUACACAUGCACACAUUUUGUUAAUGCAAUUGGCAAUUAUUUACUUAUUUAUUAUCAAUAGUGCCUCAAAGUCAGUGGGACCUUAAUUACUUCCUAAUUAUCCAGACCCUCUAUUUCUUUAUAAGAUGGACUUGAAAAAAGCAGUUCAAUAGCUCAGACAUUUUACAACUGACAUCGACUUCUCCUCCCUCCUCAUUUAUUGAUGGGCCAUUCUCUCUCUUGUAUUUCUUUUUCCCUGAUAAAGUUGUAAAUG
RNAcentral lists this long non-coding RNA (5189 nucleotides) under Sus scrofa (pig). Its description in RNAcentral is "lncRNA (ENSSSCG00055004319.1)". The record is from RNAcentral. Lineage: Eukaryota; Metazoa; Chordata; Mammalia; Artiodactyla; Suidae.